CGCAAGCCUGAUGCAGCCAUGCCGCGGUGUAUGAAGAAGGCCUUCGGGGUUGUAAAGUACUUUCAGCAGUGAGGAAGGUGGGUAUGUUAAUAGCAUACUCAUUUGACGUUAGCUGCAGAAGAAGCACCGGCUAACUCCGUGCCAGCAGCCGCGGUAAUACGGAGGGUGCGAGCGUUAAUCGGAAUUACUGGGCGUAAAGCGCAUGCAGGUGGUUUGUUAAGUCAGAUGUGAAAGCCCGGGGCUCAACCUCGGAAUUGCAUUUGAAACUGGCAAACUAGAGUACUGUAGAGGGGGUAGAAUUUCAGGUGUAGCGGUGAAAUGCGUAGAGAUCUGAAGGAAUACCGGUGGCGAAGGCGGCCCCCUGGACAGAUACUGACACUCAGAUGCGAAAGCGUGGGGAGCAAACAGGAUUAGAUACCCUGGUAG
RNAcentral lists this ribosomal RNA (426 nucleotides) under uncultured bacterium. RNAcentral's name for it is "bacterial SSU rRNA". It matches the Rfam family "Bacterial small subunit ribosomal RNA", at positions 376 to 793 of the family's 1533-position model. The record is from RNAcentral.